AUUAGUGGCGAACGGGUGAGUAACACGUGAGUAACCUGCCCUUGACUCUGGGAUAACCUCCGGAAACGGAAGCUAAUACCGGAUACGAACUGCGAAGGCAUCUUCAGCAGUUGGAAAGAACUUCGGUCAAGGAUGGACUCGCGGCCUAUCAGGUAGUUGGUGAGGUAACGGCCCACCAAGCCUACGACGGGUAGCCGGCCUGAGAGGGUGACCGGCCACACUGGGACUGAGACACGGCCCAGACUCCUACGGGAGGCAGCAGUGGGGAAUAUUGCACAAUGGGCGCAAGCCUGAUGCAGCAACGCCGCGUGAGGGAUGACGGCCUUCGGGUUGUAAACCUCUUUUAGUAGGGAAGAAGCGAAAGUGACGGUACCUGCAGAAAAAGCACCGGCUAACUACGUGCCAGCAGCCGCGGUAAUACGUAGGGUGCGAGCGUUGUCCGGAAUUAUUGGGCGUAAAGAGCUCGUAGGCGGUCUGUCGCGUCUGCUGUGAAAACCCGAGGCUCAACCUCGGGCCUGCAGUGGGUACGGGCAGACUAGAGUGCGGUAGGGGAGAAUGGAAUUCCUGGUGUAGCGGUGGAAUGCGCAGAUAUCAGGAGGAACACCGAUGGCGAAGGCAGUUCUCUGGGCCGUAACUGACGCUGAGGAGCGAAAGCGUGGGGAGCGAACAGGAUUAGAUACCCUGGUAGUCCACGCCGUAAACGUUGGGCGCUAGAUGUGGGGACCAUUCCACGGUUUCCGUGUCGCAGCUAACGCAUUAAGCGCCCCGCCUGGGGAGUACGGCCGCAAGGCUAAAACUCAAAGGAAUUGACGGGGGCCCGCACAAGCGGCGGAGCAUGCGGAUUAAUUCGAUGCAACGCGAAGAACCUUACCAAGGCUUGACAUAUACGAGAACGGGCUAGAAAUAGUCAACUCUUUGGACACUCGUAAACAGGUGGUGCAUGGUUGUCGUCAGCUCGUGUCGUGAGAUGUUGGGUUAAGUCCCGCAACGAGCGCAACCCUCGUUCUAUGUUGCCAGCACGUAAUGGUGGGAACUCAUAGGAGACUGCCGGGGUCAACUCGGAGGAAGGUGGGGAUGACGUCAAAUCAUCAUGCCCCUUAUGUCUUGGGCUUCACGCAUGCUACAAUGGCCGGUACAAAGGGCUGCAAUACCGCAAGGUGGAGCGAAUCCCAAAAAGCCGGUCUCAGUUCGGAUUGAGGUCUGCAACUCGACCUCAUGAAGUCGGAGUCGCUAGUAAUCGCAGAUCAGCAACGCUGCGGUGAAUACGUUCCCGGGCCUUGUACAC
This 1285-nucleotide ribosomal RNA is filed under the name bacterium. Its description in RNAcentral is "bacterial SSU rRNA". It matches the Rfam family "Bacterial small subunit ribosomal RNA", at positions 91 to 1388 of the family's 1533-position model. The record is from RNAcentral.